RNAcentral lists this ribosomal RNA (362 nucleotides) under uncultured bacterium. RNAcentral's name for it is "partial 16S ribosomal RNA". It matches the Rfam family "Bacterial small subunit ribosomal RNA", at positions 338 to 697 of the family's 1533-position model. The record is from RNAcentral.
CCUACGGGAGGCAGCAGUGAGGAAUAUUGGUCAAUGGGCGCGAGCCUGAACCAGCCAAGUAGCGUGAAGGAUGACUGCCCUACGGGGUGUAAACUUCUUUUAUAAAGGAAUAAAGUGAGGCACGUGUGCCGUUUUGUAUGUACUUUAUGAAUAAGGAUCGGCUAACUCCGUGCCAGCAGCCGCGGUAAUACGGAGGAUCCGAGCGUUAUCCGGAGUGAUUGGGUUGAAAGGGAGCGUAGAUGGGUUGUUAAGUCAGUUGUGAAAGUUUGCGGCUCAACCGGAAAAUUGCAAUUGAUACUGGCAGUCUUGAGUACAGUUGCGGUAGGCGGCAUUCGUGGUGUAGCGGUGCACUGCUUAGAUCU